UGCUCAAUUCACGACAUUCUUUGGGCACAAGAGGACGAGCUCACUGGAGGCAAAUGUAAAGUGGCAUGGGAGAAGGUAUGUACACCAGUAGCGCAAGGAGGGCUUGGGAUCCUUGAUCUGCACAAGUUCAGUCGGACUCUAAGAAUUAGAUGGUUGUGGCUUGCCUGGGAGCAGCCGAACAGACCCUGGGUCGGUCUGCAAGCACCUAUUGACGACAAGGCUUUGUUUAGCAAUGCCACAAAAGUGCAAAUCGGCAACGGAAGCAGGGCGAGCUUCUGGAAGGACAACUGGAUUGGAGGGGCAACGUUGUGCAUAGUCUUCCCACAAACUCUUCCAUCAUGCUCGCCGAAAAAACAGGACAGUGGGGGUUGGCCUUAG
RNAcentral lists this ribosomal RNA (378 nucleotides) under Triticum aestivum (bread wheat). RNAcentral describes it as "partial small subunit ribosomal RNA". Lineage: Eukaryota; Viridiplantae; Streptophyta; Magnoliopsida; Poales; Poaceae. The record is from RNAcentral.